RNAcentral lists this ribosomal RNA (253 nucleotides) under uncultured bacterium. RNAcentral's name for it is "partial 16S ribosomal RNA". It matches the Rfam family "Bacterial small subunit ribosomal RNA", at positions 524 to 776 of the family's 1533-position model. The record is from RNAcentral.
UACGAAGGGGGCUAGCGUUGCUCGGAAUGACUGGGCGUAAAGGGCGCGUAGGCGGCUCAUGAAGGCUGUGGUGAAAGUCCGGGGCUCAACCUCGGAUCGGCCGUGGCGACUCGUGGGCUGGAGCACUGUAGAGGCGGGUGGAAUUCCGGGUGUAGCGGUGGAAUGCGUAGAGAUCCGGAAGAACACCAGUGGCGAAGGCGGCCCGCUGGGCAGUGGCUGACGCUGAGGCGCGACAGCGUGGGGAGCAAACAGG